GAUGAACGCUGGCGGCGUGCCUAAUACAUGCAAGUCGAGCGAACAGACGAGGAGCUUGCUCCUCUGACGUUAGCGGCGGACGGGUGAGUAACACGUGGAUAACCUACCUAUAAGACUGGGAUAACUUCGGGAAACCGGAGCUAAUACCGGAUAAUAUAUUGAACCGCAUGGUUCAAUAGUGAAAGACGGUUUUGCUGUCACUUAUAGAUGGAUCCGCGCCGCAUUAGCUAGUUGGUAAGGUAACGGCUUACCAAGGCAACGAUGCGUAGCCGACGUGAGAGGGUGAUCGGCCACACUGGAACUGAGACACGGUCCAGACUCCUACGGGAGGCAGCAGUAGGGAAUCUUCCGCAAUGGGCGAAAGCUUGACGGAGCAACGCCGCGUGAGUGAUGAAGGUCUUCGGAUCGUAAAACUCUGUUAUUAGGGAAGAACAAAUGUGUAAGUAACUAUGCACGUCUUGACGGUACCGAAUCAGAAAGCCACGGCUAACUACGUG
This 497-nucleotide ribosomal RNA is filed under the name uncultured bacterium. RNAcentral's name for it is "partial 16S ribosomal RNA". It matches the Rfam family "Bacterial small subunit ribosomal RNA", at positions 28 to 507 of the family's 1533-position model. The record is from RNAcentral.